AUUACGGGGAUACACUUCGAUGAAUGUGCGCUCUGAGAUUGAUAACAACGAGAACAAGGCAGAAACGGGAGCCGGGAUGACUGUCGGAGGAGGACCGGCUCUGAGCGGUGCCGGAUGGGAAAUGGAUGAAACUCUGUCGGCGCGGGAGGGACACAUGCUUUGGGAUAAACACCUGGAGCAAAUGCUAUUCAGCAGACGUUGCGGACAACAAAAUGCAGCAAAACCAGCACUUUUGAGAGACUCCUGAGGGGAACGAAGUGCGACUCCACUGACGGAUGUGUUCACAGCAGGUGGAGCAGCGUCACCUGUAGCCCACACGCAGCAGAGUUCAGAGGAGACGCACCACGUCUGUAUGUGAAAGA
Molecule: long non-coding RNA, 362 nt
Organism: Labrus mixtus (cuckoo wrasse)
Lineage: Eukaryota; Metazoa; Chordata; Actinopteri; Labriformes; Labridae
Exons: 3
Source: RefSeq, a predicted model, not a curated record